Molecule: long non-coding RNA, 426 nt
Filed under: Citrus maxima (pomelo)
Lineage: Eukaryota; Viridiplantae; Streptophyta; Magnoliopsida; Sapindales; Rutaceae
Description: long non-coding RNA (CMAX_LNC002344)
Source: RNAcentral
UUCUCUCUUCAAAACCGUGAGCUACUCUCUUCCAUUUCCAAUCAAUUUCUCUUCAUUUCUCAAUCAUUUUUAUGCCAAAAUUAAUCAUUCAAACCAAUAAUCAUGCAUUUCACUCUCAUUAAACACUUCCCAAUCUUCAUUUCUUCACUUGUUCUUCAUCAUUUCAUCAUCAUCUCUCACACGUGAACAGUACCUCUUCAUUUCUCUCUCAAAUUUCUUCAUCUUUCACUCAUUCUCUUGCCAAAAUCAAUCAUCCAACUCAUUAUUCAUCCAUUACUCCUUCAAUUUUCACUCUCAAAACUUGAUUUCAUUAUCUCUCCACAUAAAACCCAAAAUCAAAAACCUAACUUACCCAUUUCUUUCUCUUCCAAUUUAAGCUCUUUUUAGUCCACUUUUGAUCCAAUCAACACCAUCCAUUAUCUUAAA